UUUGCUAACUUUUAUUCCCAAUUCCCAAGAUACUAAUUAAGUAAGCCCUGGAUAUUCAAAAAGCACUGGUAGAAUUUAGAUCACUUUAUGACAAAAUCUCAGGCUUUUGUAUUAAUGUGUUUUAUGUAUUUCCACUUUUAAUGCUUAUGAUUAUAAACACAGGUAGACAAUAAGGAUCAAAAAGAUUCCUUGGAUCUUGUUUAAGCCAAUAACUAAAGACUCUCUUUAGUAAUCACAUUAUGUUAGGAAGAAAAGAAUACAGAGAAAAAUUCUUUAAAAUGCAGCAACAUAGGGACCCUGGAGUAUGAGGGUCAGCUGCAUCUAUGUGAUAAUAUCUAGAUCAGGGGGCAUGAGUUUUUCUCUAAAGGGCAUAGCUUCUCAGGCCA
Molecule: long non-coding RNA, 386 nt
Filed under: Bos taurus (domestic cattle)
Lineage: Eukaryota; Metazoa; Chordata; Mammalia; Artiodactyla; Bovidae
Description: long non-coding RNA NONBTAT025489
Source: RNAcentral